CUUCUCUGGCGUAAGAGGUUUAUUAUCUUGACUAGGAUUAGAUUAAGGUUUUUAUUUGUUAUAAAGUAUGAAGUUUUUCCAAAAUCAUGCACCAUUUAUAAGAAUAUAAUACUUCUUUUUCCGGCCAUGUUUUGUUUUUAUGGUAAGAUGAACAUAUAUGUCCAAGCCUUAAAGUGAAGAACACAGGGAAGAUCUGGACUAUUCUUUGGUUCGAUCUGCGUUUGUUUCUCACUGAGAUUAUGAUCAGGGCCGGAUAUGGGUGUCUUGACUCCCAAUUUUUUUAAAGAUU
This 289-nucleotide long non-coding RNA is filed under the name Brassica napus (rape). RNAcentral describes it as "long non-coding RNA (BNAP_LNC012589)". Lineage: Eukaryota; Viridiplantae; Streptophyta; Magnoliopsida; Brassicales; Brassicaceae. The record is from RNAcentral.